AUUGAACGCUGGCGGCAGGCUUAACACAUGCAAGUCGAACGAGUGGCGGACGGGUGAGUAAUGUAUGGGAACGUGCCUGAUGGCGGGGGAUAACUACUGGAAACGGUAGCUAAUACAGCAUACCAUCGGAUGUGCCCAGAUGGGAUUAGCUAGUUGGUGGGGUAACGGCUCACCUAGGCGACGAUCCCUAGCUGGUUUGAGAGGAUGACCAGCCACACUGGAACUGAGACGCGGUCCAGACUCCUACGGGAGGCAGCAGUGGGGAAUAUUGGACAAUGGGGGAAAGCCUGAUGCAGCCAUGCCGCGUGUAUGAAGAAGGCCUUCGGGUUGUAAAGUACUUUCGGCGGAGAAGCGUUACCCGCAGAAUAAGCACCGGCUAACUACGUGCCAGCAGCCGCGGUAAUUC
RNAcentral lists this ribosomal RNA (406 nucleotides) under uncultured bacterium. RNAcentral describes it as "partial 16S ribosomal RNA". It matches the Rfam family "Bacterial small subunit ribosomal RNA", at positions 30 to 526 of the family's 1533-position model. The record is from RNAcentral.